Molecule: ribosomal RNA, 1146 nt
Filed under: human gut metagenome
Description: bacterial LSU rRNA
Rfam family: Bacterial large subunit ribosomal RNA
Source: RNAcentral
GAGGUGUGGAUAGGGGAGAAAUUCCAAUCGAACCCGGAGAUAGCUGGUUCUCCUCGAAAUAGCUUUAGGGCUAGCCCCGUAUUAGUUUAGCGGAGGUAGAGCACUGAAUUCCUAAGGGGGCGUCAAAGCUUACCAAGGGAUAUCAAACUCCGAAUGCCGCAUAAAUGAUGUACGGGAGUCAGACUGCACGAGAUAAGUUGGGCAGUCAAAAGGGAAAGAGCCCAGACCUACAGCUAAGGUCCCAAAGUGUGUGUUAAGUGGAAAAGGAUGUGGGAUUUCAGAGACAACUAGGAUGUUGGCUUAGAAGCAGCCACACAUUCAAAGAGUGCGUAAUAGCUCACUAGUCGAGAGGUCCUGCGCCGAAAAUGUCCGGGGCUGAAACACAACACCGAAGCUUAGGAAUGUAGAAAUACAUUGGUAGAGGAGCAUUCUUAAAGGAAUGAAGCAGUACCGGUAAGGAGCUGUGGACUUUUAAGAAGAGAGAAUGCCGGAAUGAGUAGCGAGAUGGAGGUGGGAAUCCUCCAGGCCGAAUAUCCAAGGUUUCCAGAGUAAAGCUGAUCUGCUCUGGGUAAGUCGGGGCCUAAGGUAAGGCUGAGAAGCGUAGCCGAUGGACAACAGGUUGAGAUUCCUGUACCGCGUAUCAUCAGAACUGUGGGGACACAGAAGGACAGCACAUCCCGGGAAUGGAAAGACCGGGGCAAGCAGGGUAGGAGUUAAGCUGGCAAAUCCGCUUAACAAUCCGAAGCUGUGAUGCGGAGCGAAUUUAAGUAGCGAAGUGUGCGAUUCCAGCUGUCAAGAAAAGCCGCUAUUGUGUGAUACGUGCCCGUACCGUAAACCGACACAGGUAGAUGAGGAGAGAAUCCUAAGGCCGGCGGGAGAAGCAUUGUUAAGGAACUCGGCAAAAUGACCCUGUAACUUCGGGAGAAAGGGUGCCUGGGAAACCAGGCCGCAGAGAAUAGGCUCAAGCAACUGUUUAGCAAAAACACAGGUCUAUGCAAAACCGUAAGGUGAGGUAUAUGGGCUGACGCCUGCCCGGUGCUGGAAGGUUAAGAGGAGGGGUUAGCGCAAGCGAAGCUCUGAAUUGAAGCCCCAGUAAACGGCGGCCGUAACUAUAACGGUCCUAAGGUAGCGAAAUUCCUUGUCGGG